Molecule: ribosomal RNA, 492 nt
Filed under: uncultured bacterium
Lineage: Bacteria
Description: partial 16S ribosomal RNA
Rfam family: Bacterial small subunit ribosomal RNA
Source: RNAcentral
AGUGAACGCUGGCGGUAGGCCUAACACAUGCAAGUCGAACGGCAGCACAGUAAGAGCUUGCUCUUACGGUUGGCGAGUGGCGGACGGGUGAGGAAUACAUCGGAAUCUACUUUUUCGUGGGGGAUAACGUAGGGAAACUUACGCUAAUACCGCAUACGACCUACGGGUGAAAGCAGUGGAUCUUCGGACCUUGCGCGAUUCAAUGAGCCGAUGUCGGAUUAGCUAGUUGGCGUGGUAAAGGCCCACCAAGGCGACGAUCCGUAGCUGGUCUGAGAGGAUGAUCAGCCACACUGGAACUGAGACACGGUCCAGACUCCUACGGGAGGCAGCAGUGGGGAAUAUUGGACAAUGGGCGCAAGCCUGAUCCAGCCAUACCGCGUGGGUGAAGAAGGCCUUCGGGUUGUAAAGCCCUUUUGUUGGGAAAGAAAAGCAGCAGGUUAAUACCCCGCUGUUCUGACGGUACCCAAAGAAUAAGCACCGGCUAACUUCGUG